RNAcentral lists this ribosomal RNA (716 nucleotides) under uncultured bacterium. RNAcentral describes it as "bacterial SSU rRNA". It matches the Rfam family "Bacterial small subunit ribosomal RNA", at positions 36 to 796 of the family's 1533-position model. The record is from RNAcentral.
CUGGCGGUAUGCUUAAGACAUGCAAGUCGAACGGAAUCUUCGGAUUCAGUGGCGGACGGGUGAGUAACACGUGGGAAUCUACUGAGUAGUGGGGGACAGCCCGGCGAAAGCCGGAUUAAUACCGCAUACGCCCUACGGGGGAAAGGCGCAAGCCGCUAUUUAAUGAGCCCGCGUAAGAUUAGCUAGUUGGUAGGGUAAAGGCUUACCAAGGCAACGAUCUUUAGCUGGUCUGAGAGGAUGACCAGCCACAUCGGGACUGAGACACGGCCCGGACUCCUACGGGAGGCAGCAGUCGGGAAUAUUGGACAAUGGGCGCAAGCCUGAUCCAGCAAUACCGCGUGUGUGAAGAAGGCCUGCGGGUUGUAAAGCACUUUCAGUUGGGAAGAUAAUGACGUUACCAACAGAAGAAGCACCGGCUAACUCCGUGCCAGCAGCCGCGGUAAUACGGAGGGUGCAAGCGUUAAUCGGAAUUACUGGGCGUAAAGCGUGCGUAGGCGGUUUUUUAAGUCAGAUGUGAAAUCCCCGGGCUCAACCUGGGAACUGCAUCUGAUACUGGGAGACUAGAGUGUGGGAGAGGAGAGUGGAAUUUCCGGUGUAGCGGUGAAAUGCAUAGAGAUCGGAAGGAACAUCAGUGGCGAAGGCGACUCUCUGGACCAACACUGACGCUGAGGCACGAAAGCGUGGGUAGCAAACAGGAUUAGAUACCCUGGUAGUCC